This 1123-nucleotide long non-coding RNA is filed under the name Marmota monax (woodchuck). Lineage: Eukaryota; Metazoa; Chordata; Mammalia; Rodentia; Sciuridae. The record is from RNAcentral.
GGAAAUUAUAGAGGAAGCACUUCAAGAUACUGGUACAGGCAAUGGUUUUCUGUAUAGUAGCUCGAAAGCACAGGAAACAAAAUCAAAAGUUGACAAGUGGGAUCAAAAAAGCUGCUGUACUGCAAAAGGAACAAUUAACAAAAAAUACCUACCUGCCAGCUGCUGUUCAUCUAACAGAGGGUUCAUAUCUAGAAUUAAAUUUUUAAAAUUUACCUAAAAAACCAAGUGAUUUAAUUAAAAUAUGGGCAAAUGAUCUAAGUUAGUCACUUCUCAAAAGAAGAAAUACAAAUAGCCAACAAAUUUAUGAGAAGAUGCUCAGCAUCAUUAACUGUCAGGGAAACACAAGUCAAAACUACAAUAAGAUACCAUUUCAACCUGGUUAGAAUAAUUAUUACAAAAACUGAAAAUAACAAAUGUAGAGAAAAAAGAACUCUUAUACAUGGUUGAUGGGAAUGUAAGUUAGAAAAUCCAAUAUGAAAAAUGGUAUGGAAUUUCUUUAAACAAAAAUCCAGCUAUCCCACCUCUGAGUAUAUAGCUAAAGGAAAUGCAGUCACCAUAAAACAAAACACACAUGGCUGUAUACCCAUGUUCACUGCAGCACUAUUCACAAAAGCUAAGACAAUGAAUCACCCUAGUUGCUCAUCAACAGGAGAAUGGAGAAAGAAAUGUGCUGUAAAUACACAAUGCAGUUAUUAUCUGGUGAAAAAAGAAUAAAAGAAUAUUCUGCUACUUGGAACAAAACAGAUGAAAAUAAGAGGACAUUGGGUGAAAUAAACCUGACACAGGAAGACAAGUAUCUCAUGUUCUCUCAUGUAUGGAAACUAAAGAAAAAGUUAACCUCAAAGUAGAAUAGUGAUUACUGGAGUCUGGGAAAGAUGUGGAGGAGUGGGACUUGGAUGUGAUCAAUACACACUGUAUGCAAAUAACACACUGAAUCACAUCAAUAUGUACAAUUGAUUUGUAUUAAUAAAGCAUUUGCCUAGAUCAUGUCUUUUACUCUCUUUCUACUGGAAGAUGAAUUGUCUAAAAUUGUACACAAGCUAAGGUAUUGCUGACAGUACAUUUUGUCAAAACUACCAGGGACUAUAUUUUAAAAACAUCAAUAUAUGUGGAGAAGCUGCAG